GACGAACGCUGGCGGCGUGCUUAACACAUGCAAGUCGAACGGAAAGGCCCUGCUUGCAGGGUACUCGAGUGGCGAACGGGUGAGUAACACGUGGGUGAUCUGCCCUGCACUUCGGGAUAAGCCUGGGAAACUGGGUCUAAUACCGGAUAGGAGCCAUUUUUAGUGUGAUGGUUGGAAAGUUUUUUCGGUGUAGGAUGAGCUCGCGGCCUAUCAGCUUGUUGGUGGGGUAAUGGCAUACCAAGGCGGCGACGGGUAGCCGGCCUGAGAGGGUGGACGGCCACAUUGGGACUGAGAUACGGCCCAGACUCCUACGGGAGGCAGCAGUGGGGAAUAUUGCACAAUGGGCGCAAGCCUGAUGCAGCGACGCCGCGUGGGGGAUGACGGCCUUCGGGUUGUAAACUCCUUUCGCUAGGGACGAAGCUUUUUGUGACGGUACCUAGAUAAGAAGCACCGGCUAACUACGUG
This 465-nucleotide ribosomal RNA is filed under the name uncultured bacterium. RNAcentral's name for it is "partial 16S ribosomal RNA". It matches the Rfam family "Bacterial small subunit ribosomal RNA", at positions 28 to 507 of the family's 1533-position model. The record is from RNAcentral.